UUAUGACGUUAGCGGCGGACGGGUGAGUCACACGUGGGCAAUUGCCUGUAAACUGGGAUAACUUCGGGAGAUCGAACUAAUACCGGAUAGGAUCUACUUUUAUGGGAGAUGAUUGAAAGAUGGUUUCGGCUAUCACCACAGAUGGGCUCGCGGUGCAUUAGCUAGUUGGUGAGGUAACGGCUCACCAAGGCAACGAUGCAUAGCCACCUGAGAGGGUGAUCGGCCACACUGGGACUGAGACACGGCCCAGACUC
Molecule: ribosomal RNA, 254 nt
Filed under: Bacillus sp. (in: firmicutes)
Lineage: Bacteria; Bacillati; Bacillota; Bacilli; Caryophanales; Bacillaceae
Description: Bacillus sp. (in: Bacteria) partial 16S ribosomal RNA
Rfam family: Bacterial small subunit ribosomal RNA
Source: RNAcentral